This 621-nucleotide long non-coding RNA is filed under the name Homo sapiens (human). RNAcentral's name for it is "HSALNT0290616". The record is from RNAcentral. Lineage: Eukaryota; Metazoa; Chordata; Mammalia; Primates; Hominidae.
GCUGCCGCCUCCCCUCGCCCACCUCGACGGCCAUGUUCGUGGGUGGGGAGAGGCCAGCCCGACCCUCGGACGGCGGGACUCGCGGGCUACUUUAGGAGGAAGAGCAAGCUCCAUAACAGACAGAAGUUUAAAUUGUCAUUCCCAACUGCUAAUCAGGAAGCGGAAGUUAAACUCUUAGCAAAAUGGCAGCACCUGGAAAGACAAAUGGAGCCAAACUACCUGGGUUCAAAUCCUGACUCCACCACACGCUACGGUUACCAAUGAUCCUGAUCUGCCCAAGGCUGAGGAGUUUCCCAGGAUAUGGGACUUUCACUGCUAAAACCAGGAUAGUCCCAUGCAAAGCAGCAUGGCUGAUCACCCUACUUGCUGCCAUGAGACUACCACCAUCCUCGAGGAUGAUAGAUCCCAAGGAGAGAGUGACCCAGUCAACAUCCAGCCCCAUCAGCAUGUGACUUAUCCAGCCCCAGUCCAGUCACCAGAUAAUAGCAAAUGCAUGAGUUAAUUCAGGUGAGACCAUCAGAACGAUCUAGCUGAACUUGUCUCAAAUUGCUGUCCUCUGUUGGAGUUUUUCUGCACAUAAAAAAUAAAAUUGCUGUCCUACAUAACUGUAAACAAGCAAAA